This 1000-nucleotide ribosomal RNA is filed under the name Microbacterium resistens. Its description in RNAcentral is "bacterial SSU rRNA". It matches the Rfam family "Bacterial small subunit ribosomal RNA", at positions 37 to 1051 of the family's 1533-position model. The record is from RNAcentral. Lineage: Bacteria; Bacillati; Actinomycetota; Actinomycetes; Micrococcales; Microbacteriaceae.
UGGGGGCGGGUGCUUACCAUGCAGUCGAACGAUGAAGCCUCACUUGUGGGGUGGAUUAGUGGCGAACGGGUGAGUAACACGUGAGCAACCUGCCCUGGACUCUGGGAUAAGCGCUGGAAACGGUGUCUAAUACUGGAUAUGAGCUUCUGCCGCAUGGUGGGGGUUGGAAAGAUUUUUCGGUCUGGGAUGGGCUCGCGGCCUAUCAGCUUGUUGGUGAGGUAAUGGCUCACCAAGGCGUCGACGGGUAGCCGGCCUGAGAGGGUGACCGGCCACACUGGGACUGAGACACGGCCCAGACUCCUACGGGAGGCAGCAGUGGGGAAUAUUGCACAAUGGGCGGAAGCCUGAUGCAGCAACGCCGCGUGAGGGAUGACGGCCUUCGGGUUGUAAACCUCUUUUAGCAGGGAAGAAGCGUGAGUGACGGUACCUGCAGAAAAAGCGCCGGCUAACUACGUGCCAGCAGCCGCGGUAAUACGUAGGGCGCAAGCGUUAUCCGGAAUUAUUGGGCGUAAAGAGCUCGUAGGCGGUUUGUCGCGUCUGCUGUGAAAUCCCGAGGCUCAACCUCGGGCCUGCAGUGGGUACGGGCAGACUAGAGUGCGGUAGGGGAGAUUGGAAUUCCUGGUGUAGCGGUGGAAUGCGCAGAUAUCAGGAGGAACACCGAUGGCGAAGGCAGAUCUCUGGGCCGUAACUGACGCUGAGGAGCGAAAGGGUGGGGAGCAAACAGGCUUAGAUACCCUGGUAGUCCACCCCGUAAACGUUGGGAACUAGUUGUGGGGUCCUUUCCACGGAUUCCGUGACGCAGCUAACGCAUUAAGUUCCCCGCCUGGGGAGUACGGCCGCAAGGCUAAAACUCAAAGGAAUUGACGGGGACCCGCACAAGCGGCGGAGCAUGCGGAUUAAUUCUAUGCAACGCGAAGACCCUUACCACGGCUUGACAUACGCCAGACCGGGCCAGAGAUGGUCAACUCGUUUGACACUGGUGAACAGGUGUGCAUGGUGU